This 336-nucleotide unclassified non-coding RNA is filed under the name soil metagenome. RNAcentral describes it as "partial contains 5.8S ribosomal RNA, internal transcribed spacer 2, and large subunit ribosomal RNA". The stretch from base 1 to 120 matches the Rfam family "5.8S ribosomal RNA", at positions 35 to 154 of the family's 154-position model. The record is from RNAcentral.
GAUGAAGAACGCAGCGAAAUGCGAUAAGUAAUGUGAAUUGCAGAAUUCAGUGAAUCAUCGAAUCUUUGAACGCACAUUGCGCCCGCCAGUAUUCUGGCGGGCAUGCCUGUUCGAGCGUCAUUUCAACCAUCAAGCCCCAGGCUUGUGUUGGGGACCUGCGGCUGCCGCAGGCCCUGAAAACCAGUGGCGGGCUCGCUGUCACACCGGGCGUAGUAGAUUUUAUCUCGCUCAGGGCGUGCUGCGGGUUCCGGCCGUUAAAAAGCCUUUUUUACCCAAGGUUGACCUCGGAUCAGGUAGGAAGACCCGCUGACCUUAAGCAUAUCAAUAAGCGGAGGA